UCCGGCGUAGCUCCACCGGCAGAGCGGGUGGCUAUUAACCACUAGGCUGGGGGUUCGAGUCCCUCCGCCGGAGCCA
Molecule: transfer RNA, 76 nt
Filed under: Fervidobacterium thailandense
Lineage: Bacteria; Thermotogati; Thermotogota; Thermotogae; Thermotogales; Fervidobacteriaceae
Description: tRNA-Asn
Rfam family: tRNA
About the family: Transfer RNA (tRNA) molecules are approximately 80 nucleotides in length. Their secondary structure includes four short double-helical elements and three loops (D, anti-codon, and T loops).
Source: RNAcentral